GUGUGGAUAGGGGAGAAAUUCCAAUCGAACCCGGAGAUAGCUGGUUCUCCUCGAAAUAGCUUUAGGGCUAGCCUCGUAUUAGUUUAGCGGAGGUAGAGCACUGAAUUCCUAAGGGGGCGUCAAAGCUUACCAAGGGAUAUCAAACUCCGAAUGCCGCAUAAAUGAUGUACGGGAGUCAGACUGCACGAGAUAAGUUGGGUAGUCAAAAGGGAAAGAGCCCAGACCUACAGCUAAGGUCCCAAAGUGUGUGUUAAGUGGAAAAGGAUGUGGGAUUUCAGAGACAACCAGGAUGUUGGCUUAGAAGCAGCCACACAUUCAAAGAGUGCGUAAUAGCUCACUGGUCGAGAGGUCCUGCGCCGAAAAUGUCCGGGGCUGAAACACAACACCGAAGCUUAGGAACGAGAGAUCGUUGGUAGAGGAGCAUUCUUAAAGGGGCGAAGCAGUACCGGCAAGGAGCUGUGGACUUUUAAGAAGAGAGAAUGCCGGAAUGAGUAGCGAGAUGGAGGUGGGAAUCCUCCAGGCCGAAUAUCCAAGGUUUCCAGAGUAAAGCUGAUCUGCUCUGGGUAAGUCGGGGCCUAAGGUAAGGCUGAGAAGCGUAGCCGAUGGACAACAGGUUGAGAUUCCUGUACCGCGUAUCAUCAGAACUGUGGGGACACAGAAGGACAGCACAUCCCGGGAAUGGAAAGACCGGGGCAAGCAGGGUAGGAGUUAAGCUGGCAAAUCCGCUUAACAAUCCGAAGCUGUGAUGCGGAGCGAAUUUAAGUAGCGAAGUGUGCGAUUCCAGCUGUCAAGAAAAGCCGCUAUUGUGUGAUACGUGCCCGUACCGUAAACCGACACAGGUAGAUGAGGAGAGAAUCCUAAGGCCGGCGGGAGAAGCAUUGUUAAGGAACUCGGCAAAAUGACCCUGUAACUUCGGGAGAAAGGGUGCCUGGGAAACCAGGCCGCAGAGAAUAGGCUCAAGCAACUGUUUAGCAAAAACACAGGUCUAUGCAAAACCGUAAGGUGAGGUAUAUGGGCUGACGCCUGCCCGGUGCUGGAAGGUUAAGAGGAGAGGUUAGAGCAAUCGAAGCUUUGAAUUGAAGCCCCAGUAAACGGCGGCCGUAACUAUAACGGUCCUAAGGUAGCGAAAUUCCUUGUCGGGUAAGUUC
This 1148-nucleotide ribosomal RNA is filed under the name human gut metagenome. RNAcentral's name for it is "bacterial LSU rRNA". It matches the Rfam family "Bacterial large subunit ribosomal RNA", at positions 809 to 1983 of the family's 2925-position model. The record is from RNAcentral.